Molecule: ribosomal RNA, 497 nt
Filed under: uncultured bacterium
Lineage: Bacteria
Description: partial 16S ribosomal RNA
Rfam family: Bacterial small subunit ribosomal RNA
Source: RNAcentral
GACGAACGCUGGCGGCGUGCCUAAUACAUGCAAGUUGAGCGCUGAAGGUUGGUACUUGUACCAACUGGAUGAGCAGCGAACGGGUGAGUAACGCGUGGGGAAUCUGCCUUUGAGCGGGGGACAACAUUUGGAAACGAAUGCUAAUACCGCAUAAAAACUUUAAACACAAGUUUUAAGUUUGAAAGAUGCAAUUGCAUCACUCAAAGAUGAUCCCGCGUUGUAUUAGCUAGUUGGUGAGGUAAAGGCUCACCAAGGCGAUGAUACAUAGCCGACCUGAGAGGGUGAGCGGCCACAUGGAGACUGAGACACGGCCCACACUCCAACGAGAGGCAGCAGUAGGGAAUCAUCGGCAACAGACGAAAGUCUGACCGAGCAACGGCUCGUGAGUGAAGAGGGUUUUCGGAACGUAAAACCCGGUGGGUAGAGAAGAGCGUUAGUGAGAGUGGAAAUCGCAUCAAGUGACGUGAACUACCCAGAAAGAAACGGCUAACUACGUG